This is a long non-coding RNA of Myripristis murdjan (pinecone soldierfish), 455 nucleotides long. RefSeq lists it as uncharacterized. The record is from RefSeq and is a predicted model, not a curated record. The transcript is spliced from 4 exons. NCBI's taxonomy places the organism in Eukaryota, Metazoa, Chordata, Actinopteri, Holocentriformes, Holocentridae.
CUUCAUUUCCCAUGAUCACGGCGGGCCAAUGACAAUGACGUACAACUGGCUAUAAAUAUCAAGUCGCGGAAAGAUGACGUUCUUCUGGGGGACUGUUCCGCUGUGACAAGCCUCCUCAACAUGAGAGCCAAGUGGAGGAAGAAGCGUAUGCGCAGGCUGAAGCGCAAAAGGAGAAAGAUGAGGCAGAGGUCUAAGUAACCUGCCGUGGCCGCGCCGUCACGGGCUGUAAACACAGCCGGAGUCCAGCGGCCUCCCCGGGGCCAAGUCUGAGCCCGGUGGCCCCUGAGUGAACCUGAGGGAGCGGAGCCGCUGUCUGAGAACUGGAGAGCCGGUUCAGCAACACCUGGACGGACGACUGGCCCUCUGGGGCGUUCUGGACUUUGUUCUUAACUCCUUGUCUUCAUCGUUUUAUUUUUGUUUAUACUUCGAUUAAAGGUUUUGGGUUAAAAAACUAA